UUGGUGCUAAAGAUUUUUGCCCAUCUCAACUAAUUGCUUCUAUGCUGACAGCUGGCACUGAGCUUUUUGUGCCAGUACAGAGAGCUCUGUUUGAUUCUGUGUGUCAGCAUGGCUUUGUCUGUCUUUGCACGUCAUGCAUGCCUGUGCUUAAGGAUUUGUAUGUGACUGUAUUCCAGUCAGCCCCUGUAUUAAGACCGACAAAUGUACAAAGAGAAGUGCCUACCAGUGCCAGUUAUUGGAUUUGAAGAAAUUAUUGAGUGAAAUACAAUGGUCAUUGUUAUGCAGGGGAGCAGUUGAAAUGAUCAUAAUGGUUCAUUUUGGCUUUAAAAUAUCAAUUGAAGGUAGGAAGAUACCGUAGUCGUGCCUGCGCUCAUGGGCAUGAGAAAGGUCAAGGUCACUGCUAUGAGAAAACCACAAGCAAGAUCACUAUCAAGAAAAAAAUUCUGAGAGGGAAAGUUAACCCUGAACCUUGCCAAACCUGUCUUAAUGUGCCAGAGAUAAGGAA
This is a non-coding RNA of Pelodiscus sinensis (Chinese soft-shelled turtle), 505 nucleotides long. NCBI's taxonomy places the organism in Eukaryota, Metazoa, Chordata, Testudines, Trionychidae. The record is from RefSeq and is a predicted model, not a curated record.